CACACAGGGUGUGUGUCUGCGUACGAUCGCAGGAGAAGGGGAAAAAGGGGGUGUAAACCCUAAGCACAAAAAAAAUCAUCAAUUGAAAAGGAAAUCGCGGGUUGAUUGUGUGCAUGAACCAAGAAUGAUGAUCCCUUAAGCGUUUCUCACAUCAAGAACGUGUCAAGGAGAGGUCAAGCAUAGGAGGAUAACGGGUCAAGAUAAGGCAAGGUGACAAAUACACUUAUUGGAGUACUCGAGGAAGGAACAUUGGCAUGUAUGAAGGUAUGGGAUCGUUGGCUUCAUGAAGAAAUGGAGCUGGAUUUGGAUAAGAGUAUUUAAGAAAGCGCUUGGACAAUUCCACGACUACUUUAUAGAAUGCUCUACGAAAUUCUAUUAUAUAGUUUAAUGUUGUAUGGUAUGUUAAUGACUAAUGGUUUGGUUGUACGUGGUGUCCACAGGUAUCGCUUGGGUUUUCUCUACAUUUAUUGAAGUGAAGCGGACUUAGUUCGAGUUGAGAGCAAGGAUUGUACGGGGUAGAAUGGUCACAUAGUGUAACUCAUAUAGGUUUUGAAGUAUUAAUGUUAUAAAACGUUAUAAUCCGUUUUAAUGAAUAUAUGGCAUUUCGCAUUUGAACCUUCAUGUGUUUGAUAUGUCUAUUAAAGAACGAAAUUUUUGGGCUCUUGUUUUCCGCUGCGUCGUAUUUUAAGUUAUUACGCGUUAGUCUUACAGGGAAUUGUUCUUAUUACGAACGGGUCAUGCCCGAAUUUUGUUAAAUAAUAGUAUGAUAAUAUUACAUU
RNAcentral lists this long non-coding RNA (779 nucleotides) under Helianthus annuus (common sunflower). RNAcentral's name for it is "sRNA HanXRQr2_Chr08g0360991". The record is from RNAcentral. Lineage: Eukaryota; Viridiplantae; Streptophyta; Magnoliopsida; Asterales; Asteraceae.